Molecule: ribosomal RNA, 468 nt
Filed under: uncultured bacterium
Lineage: Bacteria
Description: partial 16S ribosomal RNA
Rfam family: Bacterial small subunit ribosomal RNA
Source: RNAcentral
GACGAACGCUGGCGGCGUGCUUAACACAUGCAAGUCGAACGGAAAGGCCCUGCUUUUGUGGGGUGCUCGAGUGGCGAACGGGUGAGUAACACGUGAGUAACCUGCCCUUGACUUUGGGAUAACUUCAGGAAACUGGGGCUAAUACCGGAUAGGAGCUCCUGCUGCAUGGUGGGGGUUGGAAAGUUUCGGCGGUUGGGGAUGGACUCGCGGCUUAUCAGCUUGUUGGUGGGAUAGUGGCUUACCAAGGCUUUGACGGGUAGCCGGCCUGAGAGGGUGACCGGCCACACUGGUACAGAGGUACGGCCCAAACUCCUACGGGAGGCAGCAGUGGGGAAUGUUGCACAAUGGGCGGAAGCCUGAUGCAGCAACGCCGCGUUCGGGAUGACGACCUUCGGAUUGUAAACCGCUAUCGCCUGUGACGAAGCGUUAGUGACGGUAAUGGGUAAAGAAGCACCGGCUAACUACGUG